UCUGGUGGCGAUAGCGAGAUGGUCACACCCGUUCCCAUGCCGAACACGGAAGUUAAGCUUCUCAGCGCCGAUGGUAGUUGGGGGUUUCCCCCUGUGAGAGUAGGACGUUGCCAGGC
Molecule: ribosomal RNA, 116 nt
Filed under: Mesobacillus persicus
Lineage: Bacteria; Bacillati; Bacillota; Bacilli; Caryophanales; Bacillaceae
Source: RNAcentral